GGGAAUUCCAUCAAAAUAGAAUAAAGAUCAGUGGAAUAGAGGAAGAGGAUUGAGGGGGGAAGGAGGAGUGAUAAGAUCAGGGAAAAAUAGUGGAAUGAAUCUGACCUAACUUUCCCAUGUACAUAUAUGAAUAUACCACAGUGAAUCCAUGAAUCUCACCAUUAUGUGUAUCUGCAAGACACCAAUUAUUAAAAAAAAAAAAACCAACAAAAACCUACAAGUGAAUAGCAGAUCAGUAGAGUAGAGGAAAGGAAACAGGAGGAGGGAGCAAGAGAUGGAAAGAGGAAGUACUGGGGACUGAAUUAGAGCAAAUUAUAUUCUACACUUCUAUCCUUAUGUCAAAAUGAAUCCUAAUGUUAUGUAUAACUAAAACGAGCUAAUAAAACAAACAGACAACAACAAACAAAAAACAGCAAAGGAUCUCACAUUCAGAGGGAAUGUGGGCAACCCUGGUCUCUUAGGGAAGAGAAGGUGAAAGAUGUGUCCAAGUUUGAGCUCACUAAUUAUAUAUGUGUUUUUCCAUUGUGUGUGUGGAGAAACCUAAGCAGGUGAGACUUGUUUGAUUUUGCAGAUUUGCAAAAUGUUUACAAUAUUCCUUGGAGAUUAAGUUCCAUGGUGCCCAC
RNAcentral lists this long non-coding RNA (623 nucleotides) under Marmota monax (woodchuck). The record is from RNAcentral. Lineage: Eukaryota; Metazoa; Chordata; Mammalia; Rodentia; Sciuridae.